UGAAUUGACUUUAUGGAACUACAAUUUGAUACGAAAUUCUACAAUAAUUGGAUUUUGUAAAUGCUGAUAUUAAUUGAACAGUUGACCGAGUGAACAAGAAAACCACAAUGGUUUGUACAGAUGGUUGAACAGUUGCAACGAAUGACUGUGAGAAGGUCGAAGAGAAGAAGAAAUUAGUAUGUUCAAGUGUACUAUUUUUCACUGAUCAAUUGUAACAGAAUGUCCUGUUUCUUGAAAUGCAGAGGGAGUAGCAUGUAUCAGAAUGUCAUGUUUCUUUUUCCAAAGGAGGCCUAAAUUCAUCUCAUCACCUUCGCAAUUCAUAUACACAAACAUCUCUAAGGGUGAAUCUCUUUCUCACCGACCAAUACACAACACACUAAACCCUUCUUUUCAGAGUUUUUUGUUGUGGAAAAUGCAGAAAAUUAAUGGAGGGUGUGGAGUUAUGGACAGAGCAGAUUGUCGUUGAAGGAUGUUUGGUCCAAAGUUUCUCAGGUUUUGACAGUUCUUAAUUGCAACUGUUGAAAAAGAAAUUAAAUGAAUAGAUGAUAAGACAAAUUUGUGGUUAUUAAACAUUCUUGUAUUAGUCUGAAAUGCAGAAAUUGUUCUUAAGUUGAUGCAGUGAGGAUUGAGGUAGAGAACUCUGAAACAAUCCUCAACAAUUUCAUACAGUUUCCAGAAUGUAAACAAUUAAUUUGAUAGAAAGAAUGCUAAGAGAAAGGAGAAUGAGCUGAAUAGAACAAUGAGAAGAGUUUUCAUUAAUCGAAAAUAUCCAUGUCACUCAGUAAACAAAAAUAUUUAUGAAUACAAAUUCCAUCAGUUCUUCAUGA
This is a long non-coding RNA of Mangifera indica (mango), 827 nucleotides long. RefSeq lists it as uncharacterized. The record is from RefSeq and is a predicted model, not a curated record. NCBI's taxonomy places the organism in Eukaryota, Viridiplantae, Streptophyta, Magnoliopsida, Sapindales, Anacardiaceae. The transcript is spliced from 2 exons.